RNAcentral lists this ribosomal RNA (377 nucleotides) under uncultured eukaryote. RNAcentral describes it as "partial 18S ribosomal RNA". It matches the Rfam family "Eukaryotic small subunit ribosomal RNA", at positions 592 to 976 of the family's 1831-position model. The record is from RNAcentral.
CAAUAGCGUAUAUUUAAGUUGCUGCAGUUAAAAAGCUCGUAGUUGGAUUUCGGGUGGGAAUGGCCGGUCCGCCGUUUCGGUGUGCACUUGCUACGCCCACCUUGCUGCCGGGGACGUGCUCUUGAGUUCACGCUCGGGACACGGAGUCGGCGAGGUUACUUUGAGUAAAUUAGAGUGUUCAAAGCAGGCCUACGCUCUGAAUACAUUAGCAUGGAAUAACACGAUAGGACUCUGGCCUAUCUUGUUGGUCUGUAGGACCGGAGUAAUGAUUAAGAGGGACAGUCGGGGGCAUUCGUAUUUCAUUGUCAGAGGUGAAAUUCUUGGAUUUAUGAAAGACGAACUACUGCGAAAGCAUUUGCCAAGAAUGUUUUCAUUAA